AUUGAACGCUGGCGGCAUGCCUUACACAUGCAAGUCGAACGGUAACAGGUCUUCGGAUGCUGACGAGUGGCGCACGGGUGAGUAAUACAUCGGAACGUGCCCGAUCGUGGGGGGUAACGAAGCGAAAGCUUUGCUAAUACCGCAUAAGAUCUACGGAUGAAAGCAGGGGACCGCAAGGCCUUGCGCGAACGGAGCGGCCGAUGGCAGAUUAGGUAGUUGGUGGGAUAAAAGCUUACCAAGCCGACGAUCUGUAGCUGGUCUGAGAGGACGACCAGCCACACUGGGACUGAGACACGGCCCAGACUCCUACGGGAGGCAGCAGUGGGGAAUUUUGGACAAUGGGCGAAAGCCUGAUCCAGCCAUGCCGCGUGCAGGAUGAAGGCCUUCGGGUUGUAAACUGCUUUUGUACGGAACGAAAAGACUCUGGUUAAUACCUGGGGUCCAUGACGGUACCGUAAGAAUAAGCACCGGCUAACUACGUG
Molecule: ribosomal RNA, 482 nt
Filed under: uncultured bacterium
Lineage: Bacteria
Description: partial 16S ribosomal RNA
Rfam family: Bacterial small subunit ribosomal RNA
Source: RNAcentral